AGCAGUCGCCGGUUCAACUUUCGCAAAUUGUAAGUUAAAUUUGUUAUUCCUCACACAUAGAAUAUGCUAGUUGACACUACUAAUAUGUUCUACAUUUCACAGGCGCAGAAUGAAACCCAAGCAUCCUGUCACUGGUUGGAAGCAGAUUCCUAAUGGGAAAUAUAUAAACAUUGUUCCCUUCUUUCCCCAAAUCUGGGCUCGACGGAGAAUCUUCGACGGCAGCAAUAACUGGAUCCUUGCGAAAAUAUAAAACUUAUAUAAUAUAUAUAAAAAAACAAGUCAGAGGAGACUUUAACUGUACAAUUUUUCUCAUCCUUGUUUUACAAUAAAAUAAAAUGGCUACGA
This is a non-coding RNA of Drosophila virilis, 345 nucleotides long. The record is from RefSeq and is a predicted model, not a curated record. NCBI's taxonomy places the organism in Eukaryota, Metazoa, Arthropoda, Insecta, Diptera, Drosophilidae.